AGCUCCAAUAGCGUAUAUUAAAGUUGUUGCAGUUAAAAAGCUCGUAGUUGAAUUUCUGUCUAGGAAAACCGGAGCAGCCUAAGGUUGUCUUCUGGCUUAAUCUAGACAUUUUUCCAGGGAACGCACUGUACUUAAUUGUAUGGUGUGGGAUCUGGAACUUUUACUUUGAGAAAAUUAGAGUGUUUCAAGCAAGCUAUCGCUUUGAAUACUGCAGCAUGGAAUAAUAUGAUAAGACUUUGGUCUUAUUUGUUGGUUUCUAAGACUGAAGUAAUGAUUGAUAGGGACAGUUGGGGGCAUUCGUAUUUAACUGUCAGAGGUGAAAUUCUUGGAUUUGUUAAAGACGAACUACUGCGAAAGCAUUUGCCAGGGAUGUUUUCA
This 378-nucleotide ribosomal RNA is filed under the name uncultured eukaryote. RNAcentral's name for it is "SSU rRNA". It matches the Rfam family "Eukaryotic small subunit ribosomal RNA", at positions 587 to 972 of the family's 1831-position model. The record is from RNAcentral.